GAUGAAGAACGCAGCGAAAUGCGAUAAGUAAUGUGAAUUGCAGAAUUCAGUGAAUCAUCGAAUCUUUGAACGCACAUUGCGCCCCCUGGUAUUCCGGGGGGCAUGCCUGUUCGAGCGUCAUUUCACCACUCAAGCCUCGCUUGGUAUUGGGCAACGCGGUCCGCCGCGUGCCUCAAAUCGACCGGCUGGGUCUUCUGUCCCCUAAGCGUUGUGGAAACUUUCGCUAAAGGGUGUUCGGGAGGCUACGCCGUAAAACGACCCCAUUUCUAAGGUUGACCUCGGAUCAGGUAGGGAUACCCGCUGAACUUAAGCAUAUCAAUAAGCGGAGGA
RNAcentral lists this unclassified non-coding RNA (330 nucleotides) under soil metagenome. RNAcentral describes it as "partial contains 5.8S ribosomal RNA, internal transcribed spacer 2, and large subunit ribosomal RNA". The stretch from base 1 to 120 matches the Rfam family "5.8S ribosomal RNA", at positions 35 to 154 of the family's 154-position model. The record is from RNAcentral.